GCUGGCGGCGUGCUUAACACAUGCAAGUCGAACGAUGAAACCUAGCUUGCUAGGUGGAUUAGUGGCGCACGGGUGAGUAAUAUAUAGAUAACGUGCCUCUUAGUCUGGGAUAGCCAUUGGAAACGAUGAUUAAUACUGGAUACUCCUUCUCUUUAUAAAGAGAGUCGGGAAAGAAAUACCUUAGGGUAUUUCGCGAAGAGAUCGGUCUAUAUCCCAUCAGGUAGUUGGUAGUGUAAGAGACUACCAAGCCUAUGACGGGUAGCGGGUUUGAGAGGAUGAUCCGCCACACUGGUACUGAGACACGGACCAGACUCCUACGGGAGGCAGCAGUGAGGAAUAUUGCACAAUGGAGGAAACUCUGAUGCAGCAACGCCGCGUGGAGGAUGACGCAUUUCGGUGUGUAAACUCCUUUUAUAUGUCAAGAAAAUGACGGUAGCAUAUGAAUAAGCACCGGCUAACUCCGUGCCAGCAGCCGCGGUAAUACGGAGGGUGCAAGCGUUAUUCGGAAUCACUGGGCGUAAAGGACACGUAGGCGGGAAGCCAAGUCUGAUGUGAAAUCCUACAGCUUAACUGUAGAACUGCAUUGGAAACUGGUUACCUAGAGUAUGGGAGGGGGAGAUGGAAUUAGUGGGGUGUAGGGGGUAAAAUCCGUAGAUAUCACUAGGAAUACCUAAAGCGAARGCGAUCUCCUGGAACAUUACUGACGCUMASGUGUGAAAGCGUGGGGAGCAAACGGGAUUAGAUACCCCGGUAGUCCACGCCCUAAACGAUGUUCACUAGUCGUCGGGAUGCUAGUCAUCUCGGUGAUGCACUUAACAGAUUAAGUGAACCGCCUGGGGAGUACGGUCGCAA
RNAcentral lists this ribosomal RNA (852 nucleotides) under uncultured bacterium. RNAcentral describes it as "bacterial SSU rRNA". It matches the Rfam family "Bacterial small subunit ribosomal RNA", at positions 35 to 891 of the family's 1533-position model. The record is from RNAcentral.